GUAGAAUUAAAUAAUAGGUGUGCGUUCUUUAUUAGUGAGAACUCCCCCCAUCCCCCAAAUACUUCCUCUAUACUAUAUUAAGAGCUGUUUAUGUUGUGUUUAACAUAUUUUACCAGUUCAGCUAUAUAAUUUAGAGGUUGUGCCAGCCAGUAAUGCCCCCAUACCGAUGUACCUAUCACUGUAUCAGUGAUCUCCCAGGUUAGUCCCCCUGAAGUUAAUGCACCCAGUGCCCGGGUUAAUGAGGUGCCCCCGCUCCCCCCUCC
This is a non-coding RNA of Pelobates cultripes (western spadefoot toad), 263 nucleotides long. The record is from the annotation of a GenBank genome assembly. Lineage: Eukaryota; Metazoa; Chordata; Amphibia; Anura; Pelobatidae.